Molecule: transfer RNA, 63 nt
Filed under: Teredorus guangxiensis
Lineage: Eukaryota; Metazoa; Arthropoda; Insecta; Orthoptera; Tetrigidae
Description: tRNA-Gly
Source: RNAcentral
AUUUUACUAGUAUAAUAAGUACACUUGACUUCCAAUCAAAAAGUUUGAACCUCAAGUAAAAUA